RNAcentral lists this long non-coding RNA (431 nucleotides) under Carica papaya (papaya). RNAcentral's name for it is "long non-coding RNA (CPAP_LNC009812)". The record is from RNAcentral. Lineage: Eukaryota; Viridiplantae; Streptophyta; Magnoliopsida; Brassicales; Caricaceae.
ACAUUUAAACAAGCAAAUCGUAAUUCAUGUCAAACAGACAACAUACAGUAUCAGUUCUUCAGUCUUUCAACCCAUAAUUAAUAAAACAGUAAUAUAUGCACUCGAAACUAUAAAACGAACACAUCAAACCUCAUAAUGCAUUUAAAGCUGUAAAACAGGCCAAAUAACAGUAAAUCAUCAAUCACACUAGACUCGGGCUCCAUUAGCAACCUUAAGCAAUUUCACACAUGCGUUAAUUCAAGAAAUACCGUUUUAUCAUUUUGAACUUUAAUACCGUGAUAGGAAAUAGGGUGAGGGGUUCUUACUUGUUUUCGGGAUCCGAAUACGAUUCACAGUGCGCCUACAGGCCGUCCCUAAUUUUCCCUGAAUUUUUUUCCCGGGGAACUGAAACACACUAACGGUACCUGCACGUAUUCCAAAAAAUCUCAAAU